UUGGGCUGUUCGCCCAUUAAAGAGGCACGCGAGCUGGGUUCAGAACGUCGUGAGACAGUUCGGUCCCUAUCCGUCGUGGGCGCAGGACAUUUGAGAAGAUCUAUCCUUAGUACGAGAGGACCGGGAUGGACAAACCAAUGGUGCACCAGUUGCCGUGCCAACGGCACAGCUGGGUAGCUACGUUUGGAUCGGAUAAGCACUGAAAGCAUCUAAGUGCGAAGCCGACUUCAAGAUGAGAUGUCCCAUCACAUAAGUGAGUAAGGUCUCUGGCAGACCACCAGUUUGAUAGGCCGGAGGUGUAAGUACAGUAAUGUAUUGAGCUGACCGGUACUAAUCGACCGAGGGCUUAACCUUA
This 355-nucleotide ribosomal RNA is filed under the name Eubacteriaceae bacterium. Its description in RNAcentral is "partial 23S ribosomal RNA". It matches the Rfam family "Bacterial large subunit ribosomal RNA", at positions 2572 to 2925 of the family's 2925-position model. Lineage: Bacteria; Bacillati; Bacillota; Clostridia; Eubacteriales; Eubacteriaceae. The record is from RNAcentral.